Molecule: non-coding RNA, 197 nt
Organism: Glycine soja
Lineage: Eukaryota; Viridiplantae; Streptophyta; Magnoliopsida; Fabales; Fabaceae
Source: Rfam
GGUUGUGGAGUGGAUCUCCUUGAAGUCCAAAUGAGGUUCUUGCUGGGUUGAUUAUAUUGAGCUGCUGAGCUAUGGAUCCCACAGUUCUACCAAUGACACGCCUUUUGUGGUAGCUCUGCAGCGUGCAUAUCUUGGGAGCUUUAUUACCUCUUGUCAGAUCUUUAUUUAGAUUGGAGGAAGUUCCACACCUUCAUCUC